Molecule: long non-coding RNA, 2746 nt
Organism: Vigna unguiculata (cowpea)
Lineage: Eukaryota; Viridiplantae; Streptophyta; Magnoliopsida; Fabales; Fabaceae
Source: RefSeq, a predicted model, not a curated record
UUUUCUUGAUUUGUCUUUUUUGGAAAGAUUAUUGUUGUUUACCCAUCUGACGUGUUUGUAUGUGACCCACUGCGCACUCACCGGGAAAGUAAGCCAUUUUGAGGGUAAAUUGCACCUUUGUAAGUCAAGUGAACCCUCCAACUCUCUCCUCUCCUCUCUCUAUAAAGCUGGUACAUUCAUAUUAUAAAUGGUAGAGUGGUCCACGAUAACUUUGUAUGGGCAUGCUUAUUUCUCACUUCUCACCCCUCUUUACUUUCCUUCUUCACUAUAUCUCCACUACCCCCACACUUUUUUUUUCCUCAUUCUUUCUUUCUUUCUUCUUCUUCUUCUUCUUUCAAACAGAUCUGACCUCAAUUCUCAAGUCCUGGUCAUGCUUUUCCACAGCUUUCUUGAACUUCUUCUGCACCUUCGCCAUUUUAAGCCCUAGAAGCUCAAGAAAGCUGUGGGAGAAUAUGGCAAUUCAGGCUUCUUUUUUCCUUUCCUAAUUCUCUGGCAUCUUUCAAGAUUCACGGAGGCCACACAAGCUUCUUCAAUUCAUCCACGAUCACUGUCUAUGUUGCAGACUGCAUUGUUGUAAACAGCUAAAGACACCCAAUUUGGCAUGCGAAUCUGAAAAUCAAUUCAAUUUUCACCCAAAUAAGCUUCUGGGCAUGGCAGAAUCUAGGGAAAUAGUGAAAAUUUUGAACACGGGAACACGAAACCCAUUGAGUAUUCCAUGAAACAGAUUUGUGAAUCGUGACACGACAUCGUGUGUGAGUUAGCAGAGACACAGAGCUACAACUGAUCAUGGAUGCACAGUGAAGCCUUCAAUGACAUGAACUGAAUCCUCAGUUAAAUUUCCUAGUACGGAAUUAUUCGUGUUUUAGAGACUACUGUGCAAUAUAUAUUUAUAUAUUUAUUUUAGAAGCAAGAAAAAUAAUUGUGGUAUUUCACUUUGUUUAUUUUUCUUAUGUAUGAAGCUAAACAGGAACGUGUCAGUUGCCAUGCAGUGUAACUUGUUACUCGUUGUUGCAGUGCUGCUACAGGUUCUUAAUAUGUUAACCUAAAUUUCAAUUCAGAAAAUUUAAAUCAUCGGCCAUGGCAAUGGGCCUCUAGCUUUGAUGGCAAGGUUUCCCCACCUCAACAAAGGUAUAUAUGGGAAUGUUCCGAUUCAUGCACCUAACCAAAUAUUAUUGUAAUUAAAACCCCAAAAUAAUGGUUUUCCCUUUUGCUUUUCAACAAAAAUAUCUGUUUACCCAAUGAUUUGUCGUUUAUGAGAAAUUAGAAAGACAUUCUACUAGACACAAACAUUUUUAAAAAGAGCACAGAUUCUCUCCUCUUUUUUUUUUUUUUUAACAAUAAAGAAGUUCACAUGCUUAUUCAUGGUAUUCACUCACUUAAAGCUUUUGCAUAUAUGUAGGUUAUCUUAUUCCACUCACACUCAAACAAAAAACAAAGAGUAUGUUAGAUUUCAGGUUUUUAAAAAUUCACCACAUUUUAUAGUAUAGAAUAUCAGAAAAGAUAAUCAAUCAUUUAUGGAGAAAAUAAUAAAGUAGAAUUUUAUUUUGGAUUGAAAAGAAUUUUUUAAAUUAGUGUUUGAAUUUAUUUUCAGACGAUUUAUUUUUUAUGUAUUUUUAUUUUCUCUUCCACUUAUUCAAAUAAAGAAAGAGAAAUCUGUUCACUUUUUCCCAUUUUACUAAUCAUUCAAAAUUCAUAUUAUAUAUCCACUCUAUUUUUCAUUCCUUUUUUUAUGUUUUUGCUCAAUUGUUAUUUUUCUCUCUUUUUCACUUUCAUUCUAAGCACACAUAGAUAAUGAAAGGUAUGUUUAUAUGAAUUUCACACUUAGUGUUAGAAAUUUUGAGAGAUUUAACCUAAUUGUCGCAUUCAAUUCAGAAGUUAAUCACGUAUAGUUAAGAAAGAGAAAGAAAUAUAUCACUCUUACUAAAAUAACGAAGAAAUUGACUACAUAUAAGAAGUGACAAUUAUUUACCAACUCCUAUGCCAUAAUUUUAAAUUUUUAUUUUUUUAAUGAAAUUUCUUUUAGGAAUUCUUCCUACACAUCAAUGUUUUUUUUUUUCAAGUUAUUGUCAAUAUCAUUCAUCCAUUUUCUUUAUCCUACCUAGGCUUGUAAGCUGAGCAUUAUUUAUUUUUAUUUAUUUAAAUUGACUAUCAUUAAUUUUAUUUCUAUUUCAAUUUCAAUUUAAUUAACUUGCCAACUAGUCCAAAAGUUUCUUUCUCAAAUCACUCUCCUUUUACUCUAUUCAUAUAUUAAAUUUUUUAAACGUAUUAUAUGUUACAAUUUACCUAUUCAUAUUUUUUUAAAAUUAAAUGUUAGCAAAAAUAUUAAUGACAAAUAUUACGUUAAAAUACGUUACGUAUUAAUAAUAAUUGUACCUUAAAAAUUCAUUUAGCUUAUGUUUUAAUUUUAAUACAAUAUUACAUAUACUUAUUAUGACUUUAAAUAUCUAUAAAAAUUUUAAUUAUGUACAUGUUAAUAGACUAAUAUACUAGUUUUAAUUUAUUAUACCAUAUAAAUAAUCACCAGUUUUUUUAAGAAAUUCUAUUGUUUUCCAUGUUUUGUAGAAGUUCUUCAGCAGUUAAAUGAGAUGGAAGAGGAAGAUAGAAGAGGAGUGGGAAAUAAAUAAGUCGUGUGAGAGAGAAAAAAAAAUGAAUAAAAAGUGUGUUGUAAAAAAUCCUUCUCUUUUCUCCUCAAAUGCUUUUCAUCUUACCUAGAGAAUGGAAUCAAAAGAAAAUGUCUGGUAGCAAA